UUCCAUGAAGAACAUGGUCAUACGACAGAAGAAUGUCAGCAACUAAAAGAUGAGAUUGAGAGGCUGAUAAGAGACGACACUCUUCAAAAAUUCAAAAGGAAGAGUAAGGAAGAGAGGAGACCUGAGCUCGAGGAACCAAACCUCGAAAUAGCCCCUAAUCGAGAACCUAUAGGGAUCAUACAUGUAAUAACGGAAAGACCUAGGGAUGGUCAGAGAAAGUAAAUAGACUGCAAAUAUAAUUAUCGAACUGCAAUAAGGAACGAUAAGAUUGCCUUCCUAAAAAAAAAAA
This 289-nucleotide long non-coding RNA is filed under the name Manihot esculenta (cassava). RNAcentral describes it as "long non-coding RNA (MESC_LNC000341)". Lineage: Eukaryota; Viridiplantae; Streptophyta; Magnoliopsida; Malpighiales; Euphorbiaceae. The record is from RNAcentral.